UUUGACCUCAAAUCAGGUAGGAUUACCCGCUGAACUUAAGCAUAUCAAUAAGCGGAGGAAAAGAAACCAACAGGGAUUGCCUUAGUAACGGCGAGUGAAGCGGCAAAAGCUCAAAUUUGAAAUCUGGCACCUUCGGUGUCCGAGUUGUAAUUUGAAGAAGGUAACUUUGGAGUUGGCUCUUGUCUAUGUUCCUUGGAACAGGACGUCACAGAGGGUGAGAAUCCCGUGCGAUGAGAUGCCCAAUUCUAUGUAAAGUGCUUUCGAAGAGUCGAGUUGUUUGGGAAUGCAGCUCUAAGUGGGUGGUAAAUUCCAUCUAAAGCUAAAUAUUGGCGAGAGACCGAUAGCGAACAAGUACAGUGAUGGAAAGAUGAAAAGAACUUUGAAAAGAGAGUGAAAAAGUACGUGAAAUUGUUGAAAGGGAAGGGCUUGAGAUCAGACUUGGUAUUUUGCGAUCCUUUCCUUCUUGGUUGGGUUCCUCGCAGCUUACUGGGCCAGCAUCGGUUUGGAUGGUAGGAUAAUGACUAAGGAAUGUGGCUCUACUUCG
Molecule: ribosomal RNA, 544 nt
Filed under: Debaryomyces hansenii
Lineage: Eukaryota; Fungi; Ascomycota; Pichiomycetes; Serinales; Debaryomycetaceae
Description: LSU rRNA
Rfam family: Eukaryotic large subunit ribosomal RNA
Source: RNAcentral